UUUUUAAUCAAGGUACCUUUAUUCAUGUGUACUGAACAAAAAUACUGUAUAAAUGCAACAUGCAAACAUUUUGAAGAUUGGACUGAGUUACAGUUCAUAUAAGGAAAUCAGUCCAUUUUAAUAAAUUCAUUAGGCCCUAAUCUAUAGAUCUCACAUGACUGGGCAUGGGUGCAGCCGUGGGUGGGCCUUGGAGUGCAUAGGCACACCCACUUGGCAGCCAGGCCCAGCCAAUCAGAAUGAAUUUUUCUCCACAAAUGGGAUUUAUUACAGACAGAAAUACUCCUCAGCCUCCCACCCACCCUCAGACCAUUCUGCAGGUGAAGAAGCCGGAUGUGGAGGUCCUGGGCUCGUGGUCUGUGGUUGUGAGGCCGGUUGGACAGUCUGUCAAAUUCUCUAAAGCAACAUUGGAGGCGGCUUAUGGUAGAGAAAUUAACAUUAAAUUAUCUGGCAACAGCUCUGGUGGACAUUAUUGCAAUCAGCAUGCCAAUUGAAUGCUCCCUCAAAACUUGAGACAUCUGUGGCAUUGUGCUGUGUGACAAAACUACACAUUUUAUAGUGGCCUUUUAUUGUCCCCAGCACAAGGUGCACCUGUGUAAUGAUCAUGAUGUUUAAUAAUCAUCUUGAUAUGCCACACCUGUCAGGUGGAUGGAAAAUCUUGGCAAAGGAGUAAUGCUCACUAACAGGGAUGUAAACAAAUGUGUGCACAAAAUGUGAGAGAAAUAAGCUUUUUGUGCAUAAUGGAACAUUUCUGGGAUUUUUUUAUUUCAGCUCAUGAAACACUUUACAUGUUGUGUUUAUAUUUUUGUUCACUGUCGUUUACUCCUUUCUGUUUCCCUAUGACAGUGUAGAAGUAGUACCGCAACCUGUCCAAUAGAUAGUACGGUGGAGGCCUGUUCAAAGCACUGAAAAUCUGGAUUCUGUGAUAUUGUGGUAGCUGGAUCAGAAUGAUCCUAUUAUUUUCUGAAAAAACAGCUCAAAAACGGACAGAUUGAUAUAAUCCCGAUAGAAAAAAAGAGGAUUAUAGAAUCCGUCUCUGACCCCCCUUUUGAAACCUGACCCACACACAUACAUGUAACUGCCAAAAUAAUGGAAGCACUUGAGUAAAUGAGGGAUACAAAGUAAAUUGAAAGCAGGUGCUUCCACACAGGUGUGGUUUCUGAGAUAAUUAAGCAAUUAACGUUCCAUUGUGGUUAGGGUUAUGUAUAAAAAUGGUCGGCAGGCUACCAUGGCUAAGCCCCAUAGGAUGGAUGACAAUGCCCCCAUCCACAUGCCACAAGUGGUCACUGAAUGGUUUGAUGAGCAUGAAAAUGAUGUAAACCAUAUGUCAUGACCGUCUCAGUCACCAGAUCUCCACCCAAUUUAACACUUAGGCCCAUGGGAGAUUCUGGAGCCAAGCCUAAAACAGUGUUUCCCACCACCAAUUCAAUUCAAUGGGCUUUAUUGGCAUAGGAAACGUGUUAACAUUGCCAAAGCAAGUGAGGUAGAUAAUAUACAAAAGUGAAAUAAACAAUAAAAAUUAACAGUAAACAGUAAAUUGUUUCAAAACAAUAAAGACAUUACAAAUGUCAUUACGUAUAUACAGUGUUGCAACGAUGUACAAAUGGUUAAGUGUACACAAAGGAAAAUAAAUAAGCAUAAAUAUGGGUUGUAUUUACAAUGGUGUUUGUUCUUCACUGGUUGCCCUUGUGGCAACAGGUCACAAAUCUUGCUGCUGUGAUGGCACACUGUGGAAUUUCACCCAGUAGAUAUGGGAGUUUAUCAAAAUUUGUUUUUUUUCGAAUUCUUUGUAGAUCUGUGUAAUCUGAGGGAAAUAUGUGUCUCUAAUAUGGUCAUACAUUGGACAGGAGGUUAGGAAUUGCAGCUCAGUUUCCACCUCAUUUUGCAGGCAGUGUGCACAUAGCCUGUCUUCUCUUGAGAGCCAUGUCUGCCUAUGGCGGCCUUUCUCAAUGGCAAGGCUAUGCUCACUGAGUCUGUACACAGUCAAAGCUAUCAACAGAACACCAAAUUAUGGAAUUUCUCUUUGUAGAAUGGUGUCGCAUCCCUCCAAUAGAGUUCCAGACAUUUGUAGAAUCUAUGCCAAGGUGCAUUGAAGCUGUUCUGGUGGCUCGUGGUGGCCCAACGCCCUAUUAACACACUUUAUGUUGGUGUUUCUUUUAUUUUGGAAGUUACCUGUAUGUCGUAUUGAAUUGAAAUCAGCUGGGUGAUGAUUUUGUCUGGCGAUUAUAAUGUCUUGUUGGACAACUAUGCCAUAGUCUAGGUCUAUGUCUACGUUAUAACAUGCCGAUAUAGACGCAUAUGAAGACAAUUUGACUGGACUAGAGUGAGAAAAGGUGCAGAGCACGUGGUAGUAACUCCCUUGUCCGGGACAGUAGCUAUUAUUAGACUAUAAACUAAUCGGCCUACAUUUCCACAGAUUACGAAUUCGCUAUUUUGAAUAUAUCAGUAGACCCACAAUAUAAGUUAAAUAAAAUGUUCAAAUAUAUUGAUAGUUAAAAGUAUCUUCAACUGUGAAAUUUAAACGUAUAUAGAUUUAUUUGGUUGCCAAUAGACUGGCCUACAUGCGUACGUGAAUGAAUUUAAAACAAGGCUUCUACUGCUUUCUAGAACAGGAACACAGGCAUGGAACGAGGUUCAGCCCAGAACAGAGUCAAUGGAGAGGAGUCGUCGAUGGCCUAUGAUGCCUGGGCAGCGCAGGGACUAAGUCGGUCUAAGUCUCCUAGCUGUCAUAAGGUAUAAUAUAUAGGCCGAACUGAACUACCAAAACGGAAUAAAUGUUUAUAAGCCCUUUGAGGAUGUUAGGCCUAAAGGUAGGCUAGGUCUAUUGUCAACGUUAUAGUUCUUAAUUCAUCAUGCAACCUGACGGGAACUCUCCGUGGUCCUGAAUAGGCAUCACUACUGAGGAACUAAUAGGCAGAGUCCAUCUCAAUUUGUUACAGGCAUCCCUACUACGGGAUCUAUCUAGAGGUAGCUUUUUUAACAGAUAUGCCUAAUGUCUUGUGUUCCUCGAAUCGUUGGCACAUAUAACCUUUAUACCGGUAGGCCUAAUUCACAUAAACAUUUCUCUGAAACCUUUCCCCUUUCCCAAAAUCACCGACAAUGAAAUAAUACAUGCACCCUCAGCAUUUAUUUAUUGGUUAUAUUGUACACAACAUUCCAAGUGUAUGCUACCCAGGCCAAGCAUUGAAAAUAGUUUCAAAAACGUGACAUUUUUAUCUGAAUUGAUUACCUUAACAACCGCUUACCUGAGAGAUCUCGACAAUACUCUUUCAAUAAUUAAGAAACCUUCAAAUGAUAUGUAUCCUCUGAUUUAUCGGCUCCAUCAAACAUGAUUAUGCUAUAUAUGAUAUUCAGUCUAAAAAGGUACUCUUUUGUGAAUGGGAGGCCUGCUGCAAAUGUAUAAUAAAUUGUAUAUUUGAUGUUGUUUUGUAGGCUAUUGUUUUACAGCAAAACCUUUUUUAUAUAGGCUGCAUUUGAAUGGACUAGGCUACUAGCAUUUGUACAACCAAGCCAGUGAUGCAUUGUUAAUAUGGUUCCUAUAGGUGGCAUUGACUAGUUAACUCAUGACAAGGCGUAAUGACGGUGACCUGACCAUACAGGCCUCGGGAAGUCUAGAACAAUAUCUGUCAUUUUAAUUCACUUCAUUCAUUUGUUGUCAGUUGCGCUAUUUGUGUAAUAUUUGGGGACUUUGACAAGAAUUUCUAAACAAAAAAGUUGCCUAAACGAAUAGCAAUAUCUCAUGACAUGAAGGCUUAGCCUAUGGAUAGUUAUAGGCGACAUGAAAUGCAAGGCAACGUAAGAGACUCAGAAAUAGUACAAUUAAUCAGUUAUGGUCACUGUUGCCUGUCUUUGACAGCUCAUUUGUGGGCAUUUUUACCAGACGAAGCUUAAAAUAUAUUUGAUGAAAUGCUAUUUAUAGCUCUAGAUCCACACACAUGCUAACUUUGCAGGCUAACUAUUUAAAUGGGGAAUAUUUAUAUGCAGAGUAUAGUUGGAAACAUCUUUAGAGGGAACUAUUUUGUUAUUAUAAUUCAUGUCUCCGGCUUGUGACGCAGACUGCUGGAUAUGGCAGGAUGGCGCCUUUGCCACAUUGCGUUUCGAUUAGCCUAGAGGCUACUUGUUUCAGUUGGAAAAAUCGAUCUAUUUCAAUUAUACCAUGAGUUAUCUCGUUUGAAUAUAGGCCUAGCUGGUGUAUUGAGCAAUAGGCCUCCUUUAGUGGUGCCAUGGAAGCCAGAUAGCCUAGCCUUGAUAUUGUAAUUAUAUUUCUCUCUUUUAAAUGAUCGAAUUCAUAAUUCAGUCAAAAACCAUUAAAUCACCUAGACUCAAUUAGACCUAUUCCACUGUGCAAAAACGGGUUGAAUAAACGUUGUUUCCACGUCAUUUCAACAACAACAAAAACGUCAUCAACUUAAGAGAAUUUCGUAUUUUUUCUCACUUUUCCCCUAUUCAAUGACAAUGUGACAUUUUUUGUUGAUUUCACGUUGAAUUCAUGUUAGUUGACAACUCGACGUUGAAAGGACGUCUGUGCCCAGUGGGAUAUUUGAUAAUAUAAUUAUGAAGGUGGUUCUAGUAGCCUAGUUCUGAAUGUAUCCAAAAUAAGUGACAUUUUCAUGCAAUUUUGGAUAUUGCCCUCAUAUUUAUCCUACUAGUAUUUCAUUGAUUUCCGAUAUUCACAUGACAGCUGUGUGUUGAAAUAUACGCAUAGAAAUGGUUGCGGUUACAUCGAUGCUUCAUGACCACAGGGCCUUGCUUAGCCAAGGAACAGACCUGUUACGUUCAUUGAAAUAUACCUACUCAUUAUUUGACUGGAGGUCAGAUGAAAUAGGUCUGGUUUCUCAUUCAGUCUAGUAAUAAACUAAACGCAGAUCUGGUUUGGAUGUAGAUAUAAAAUCUAUGCAUUUUCUAAGAGCCAGAAGCCACCAAAACCACCCACUACUUUACGCAUUGCGCAUGCACUCAGAAGAGUGAACACGCACGCACACAUGCACACGCACACACACACCCUGUCAUCCAAAACACACCCUAUCAUCUCAACGCAAAUAUGAUAUUAAUGGUCAGUAUGAAUGUGAAAAGGUUUCGUUUCUGUCUUCAGCGCGUAAUGGGGGUAGAUUGAAUGCCUAUAUCAGUGAACACGAUGCUGUGUAGAUUCCUCUCUUGGCAUUCACCGCGUGCCUUAAUUGUAUGGACAUUAAAUCAAGGUCCGCUGUGAACACGCAGAGUGAUAACCCUUCCUGAUGACGCGCGCCCCAGCACGGAUACAAGCACUGGUCACCCCCCAUGGAUGCGAGCACUGCAAUGUCGAAUCCCUAACCCUAUUUGACACCCAACUCCGCGCGCACCCAAAGGAGCAACCCAAGACACGAGCUCUCAAAGAGGACAUGCAAAACUUGGACUGAGAUCAUAGCGCGCCAAACACUCGGAUAUGUACGCACGCACAAACACACACCGACCACUGUAAAAAUGAUGCAUGUUUCUGACCAAACUAAAUACACAGGCUAUGUGAUUGAAAUCUUACGCAAUAAUCAGUGCUAUCAUAUUCUGCGUUUAAACGCACCAUCAUCACAUAGCACUAUAGCAUGUAUAUGCACACACUAACAAAGUCAAAAGCGAAACACCGACUCUUUACACUGCUGCAGACUGGAUAGUGCUAUUCGUCUGUCAUAAAACGUAAUAGCUCAAUGACAUUUUAGCCUAUGCUCUAGUUUUCUAUGCAGCUGUGCGCCAUACGUCGAAGGGUGUCCAUGUUCAAAACAACAUUUCUUUGUCUAUCAAAAAACAAACAAAAACAAAACGCAUGUUCUCAAAGCAGCCCAUGGCUUGUCCUCAUUGAGAAACACAAUCGGAUGGUCUUUCACAGAGUAGCUAUUUGGUUCAAAUUAUAUACAUCCCAUUGUGCUGAGUAGGAAAUAGGAAUGCGCUCCGAAGCAUAGCUGAGAUGCAGUUCCUCCACUUGUCCGUUACAAACGCCCUCCGCUGAAACGGUGGAUGGCUCUUCCCUCGCAUUCUGUUGACAGGCUAUAUCAGGCCUGUAUGAUUACAUAUGUCUCUUAAAGCAUUUUGACCGCAUGAGUAAAAUCGCUAUCCCCUAUUUGACAAUCUUGGAUAACAAGAAAGCUAUUUUCUUCACGUCUCUGAAAAUUCCUAGAUGUAUUUUCUUCUUCAUUAAAAAAUAAAUAAAAAUACAAUGGAACCCCUUGCGCUCCAUCGGUGUCUUCUCUCCCCGGUAAGUCGCGCACUCCGUCGGUGUAUGUAAAGGACUGGAACCCGUUCUCUCUCUGUCUGUUCCCUUUUCCUCUGGCGGUUCCUCCGCACUGCACGGAAACACUGGAUGCAAGCGUCUGUCUCUCUCGCGGGCUCUCUGAUCCACCACUCUCGUGGAUUAGAGCGCGCCUCUGCUUUCCCAUCCCAGACAAUCGC
Oncorhynchus tshawytscha (Chinook salmon) is the source of this 6414-nucleotide long non-coding RNA. Lineage: Eukaryota; Metazoa; Chordata; Actinopteri; Salmoniformes; Salmonidae. The record is from Ensembl.